RNAcentral lists this ribosomal RNA (2865 nucleotides) under Prochlorococcus sp. AG-686-O05. RNAcentral describes it as "bacterial LSU rRNA". It matches the Rfam family "Bacterial large subunit ribosomal RNA". Lineage: Bacteria; Bacillati; Cyanobacteriota; Cyanophyceae; Synechococcales; Prochlorococcaceae. The record is from RNAcentral.
CAAAGGGCUCACGGAGGAUACCUAGGCACACAGAGGCGAUGAAGGACGUGGUUACCUGCGAUAAGUCUCGGGGAGUUGGAAGCACACUUUGAUCCGGGAAUUUCCGAAUGGGGCAACCCCUUGAACGACCAACUGAAUAUAUAGGUUGGUGCGAGCUAACCCAGCGAACUGAAACAUCUUAGUAGCUGGAGGAAGAGAAAGUAAAUAACGACUCCCUCAGUAGCGGCGAGCGAACGGGGAAUAGCCCAAACCGAUAGUCUUGACUAUCGGGGUUGUGGGACAGCAAUAUGGAUCAACAAUUCUAGAAGAAACGUUUGAAUGGCGUGCCAUAGAGGGUGAAAGCCCCGUAAUUGAAAGAUGAGUUGACCUAGCUGUAUCCCGAGUAGCACGGAGCACGUGGAAUUCCGUGUGAAUCUGCGAGGACCACCUCGUAAGGCUAAGUACUACUGUGUGACCGAUAGUGAAACAGUACCGCGAGGGAAAGGUGAAAAGAACCCCGGGAGGGGAGUGAAAUAGAACAUGAAACCGUGAGCUUACAAGCAAUGGGAGCCCGACUAAUCGGGUGACCGUGUGCCUGUUGAAGAAUGAGCCGGCGACUUAUAGGCACUGGCGGGUUAAACCGGAAAUGGUGGAGCCACAGCGAAAGCGAGUCUUAAUAGGGCGUUUGUCAGUGUUUAUAGACCCGAACCCUGGUGAUCUAACCAUGGCCAGGAUGAAGCUUGGGUGAUACCAAGUGGAGGUCCGAACCGACUGAAGUUGAAAAUUCAGCGGAUGAGCUGUGGUUAGGGGUGAAAUGCCAAUCGAACCAGGAGCUAGCUGGUUCUCCCCGAAAUACGUUGAGGCGUAGCGUCUAGUGCUCCAGCAGGGGGGUAAAGCAACCAUUUCGGUGCGGGCUGCGAAAGCGGUACCAAAUCGAUAUGAACUCUGAAUACCCUGUGUGUAACUAGGCAGUCAGACUGUGGGGGAUAAGCUCCAUAGUCAAGAGGGAAACAGCCCAGACCGCCAGCUAAGGUCCCAAAAUUAACGCUAAGUGAUAAAGGAGGUGGGAUUGCCCAGACAACCAGGAGGUUUGCCUAGAAGCAGCCAUCCUCAAAGGAGUGCGUAAUAGCUCACUGGUCGAGCGAUCCUGCGCCGAAAAUGAAUGGGGCUAAGCGUUAUACCGAAGCUGCGGAUAAAUUUAUUUAUGGUAGGGGAGCGUUCUAUGUUGGGUGAAGCGUUAGCGUAAGCGGACGUGGACGGCAUAGAAGUGAGAAUGUCGGCUUGAGUAGCGAAAACAUGGGUGAGAAUCCCAUGCCCCGAAACCCUAAGGGUUCCUCCGGCAGGCUCGUCCGCGGAGGGUUAGUCUGGACCUAAGGCGAGGCCGAAAGGCGUAGUCGAUGGAUAACAGGUCAAUAUUCCUGUACCAGUUAUGUUUUGGGAAGGGGGACGGAGAAGGCUAGCCAGGCCAGAUGUUGGUUACUGGUUCAAGCGUUCAAGGCUUUGAGAGAUGGAGAAAACAUCUUGAGCUGAGGCGUGAGUACGAGCUGCUACGGCAGCGAAGUUGGUGAUGUCAUGCUUCCAAGAAAAGCCCUAUACCCGUUAAGACAUAAAUGCCAGUACCCGAAACCGACACAGGUGGGGUGGUAGAGAAUACCGAGGGGCGCGAGAUAACUCUCUCUAAGGAACUCGGCAAAAUGGCCCCGUAACUUCGGGAGAAGGGGUGCCAGCGAGAGCUGGUCGCAGUGAAGAGGCGCAAGCGACUGUUUACCAAAAACACAGGUCUCCGCUAAGUCGCAAGACGAUGUAUGGGGGCUGACACCUGCCCAGUGCCGGAAGGUUAAGGAAGCUGGUUAGCUUUUAGCAAAGCUAGCGACUGAAGCCCCGGUGAACGGCGGCCGUAACUAUAACGGUCCUAAGGUAGCGAAAUUCCUUGUCGGGUAAGUUCCGACCCGCACGAAAGGUGUAACGAUUUGCGCGCUGUCUCGGAGAGAGGCUCGGCGAAAUAGAAUUGUCUGUGAAGAUGCGGACUACAUACACCCGGACAGAAAGACCCUAUGAAGCUUUACUGUAGUUUGAUAUUGUGCUCGGGCUCUAAUUGCGCAGAAUAGGUGGGAGACAUUGAAAUAGUGCUUGUGGGUAUUAUUGAGUCAUCGGUGAGAUACCACUCUAUUAGAGCUAGGGUUCUAACGUUUACCCGUUAUCCGGGAAGCGGACAGUAUCUGAUGGGCAGUUUGACUGGGGCGGUCGCCUCCUAAAAGGUAACGGAGGCGCACAAAGGUUCCCUCAGGCUGGUUGGAAAUCAGUCGUUGAGUGCAAAAGCAGAAGGGAGCUUGACUGUGAGACCUACAAGUCGAACAGGGACGAAAGUCGGUUUUAGUGAUCCGACGGUUCUGCGUGGAAGGGCCGUCGCUCAACGGAUAAAAGUUACUCUAGGGAUAACAGGCUGAUCUCCCCCAAGAGUUCACAUCGACGGGGAGGUUUGGCACCUCGAUGUCGGCUCAUCGCAACCUGGGGCUGAAGUCGGUCCCAAGGGUUGGGCUGUUCGCCCAUUAAAGCGGUACGCGAGCUGGGUUCAGAACGUCGUGAGACAGUUCGGUCCAUAUCCGGUGUAUGCGCAGGAAUAUUGAGAGGAUUUCUCCCUAGUACGAGAGGACCGGGAGGAACGCACCUCUGGUGUGCCAGUUAUCGUGCCAACGGUAAACGCUGGGUAGCCAUGUGCGGAGUGGAUAACCGCUGAAAGCAUCUAAGUGGGAAGCCCACCUCAAGAUGAGUAUUGCCAUGGCUUAAGCCAGUAAGGUCACGGGAAGAACACCCGUUGAUAGGCUCUACGUGGAAGCUUGGUAACAAGUGCAGCGGAGGAGUACUAAUAGACCGAGGGCUUGACCA